GAGGCCCAGGGGGCGGGGACUUCUGCCAUUUCCGGCCGGUCCUCGCGUCUCUUCCGGGAAGUCGGCAGGCUCCACUCCCAGGACGGGAGGGAGGUUUGGCCUGCACUGGGACGCUCGGCAAAGGUCGGAACUGUCAGCUGCCUCUGGGAACAGCUGGUCUGCAGGGGGUGCUGUGCGUGUUGGGGGAAACCCGAGGGGCAGAUCAAGGCCUUGGAGGGCCGUCUUUCUUCGAGCUGAGUUUCCUGCGGGUGUGCCCCAGAAAGACACCAUUGGAAACGCUGGUUAUUUUACCAAGGCUUUGACAGGAAUGUCAGAUUUGGACAGACCUGCAUAGACUCAGAACUAACCAGACAGCUUGGAGGAACUGAGGUGGACUUUAUGGAGCCAAUCAACCCCCCCGGAAAUACUGGCCCGAUGCCUGGCUGACAGAGUUCCCAGCAGCCUUACCAGAUCCACGGCACCUAGAUGCCUUCACUGCCGUAAGUUCAAGCUGACAGAUGGUCCUGUCUGCUGAAGGAGACUCCCAUAUGUUAUCAACUCUAGCCACAGCUGCCUCUGCCUUUGGUAAGUCCUACACGUACGUGCCCACCUGACCAAUGUUGACCCAUAGGUAGGGACCUCGCUGCCCCCCUAUUUAGCCGAGAAGUUACGGAAGGCCUUCCGCUUUUAGCAACCUUAUAGAUUGAAGGGUCAACACUGUUUAGAGGGGAGUGGUGAGGAAAGCAAAGGCAAGAGAAAUGUAGGUAAAAUUAAGUGUCCUUACAACGUGCAGCCCAUUGACAGAUACUUGAGACAGGCAGAAUAGGACAUUUCUCCGGGAACUGACAGCUGCCUUAUGGUUAAUGCUUUGCUAGAGGCAAAAGGCAGCCUUAGCUUGACAUUAGCCAGACCUCCAGGAUCCUGUCAGUCUUCUUUAACAUGUGAAAACGCCUUCGGAGACUUCCUUUAUCUCUACCCUCCCCUCCACCAAGAUAUGUGGUGGCAACCAUCCUUGAAACAUAGGCCCCCCGAUACACAUCUGAAGGGUCUCGGGAUUAAUGUUUUACUAGACAGUAGUCAGUAACCUUCUCUUACGAGCAGCUAGCCCCUCAAGGUCCUGGAAGCCUUGCUUCCAAAUUCCUUUGAGGCUUCUGCUAUUCCUAACCCCAACUAACCAAAAAGUAUGUAACCAGUCUCUUCUCACAAUCCCAGCGCAGCUCUUUUCGACCACGGGUCCUGCCCCCUGUGCUUCAGUAAAAACACCUUUUUGCGGUGAAAAUGUCUCAAGAAUUCUUUCCUGACUUUUUGCUCUCAGACCCCACAUCACAUCAGUUUAAUACUUACGGCUCUUUUCAUAAGAUUUCUCUGGUGUUUUUCAUUCACUUCAAUAUUAACUGGGGUGAGAUGUACAGAGAGUCAUGAGUCCCUCUGCGAAAGUAGCCACCAGGGCGUAUUUGAUCCUUAUCAGAACAAGGCAGACUAUGGGUCAGCCUUCUAGUGAACAUUUUUCUGAUUCUGUCCUUCAUCAUUUCCUCCCUGACCAAUCUUCGGUCCUUAAAUCUUUAAGGUUAUUGAAAGGUGAAGUGCUCAUCUUCUGUAACUUCUUCAAACUGACAGGUGGCGGGAGGAAGAGGAAGGA
Lynx canadensis (Canada lynx) is the source of this 1618-nucleotide long non-coding RNA. RefSeq lists it as uncharacterized. The transcript is spliced from 3 exons. The record is from RefSeq and is a predicted model, not a curated record. NCBI's taxonomy places the organism in Eukaryota, Metazoa, Chordata, Mammalia, Carnivora, Felidae.